Molecule: non-coding RNA, 10630 nt
Organism: Rattus norvegicus (Norway rat)
Lineage: Eukaryota; Metazoa; Chordata; Mammalia; Rodentia; Muridae
Source: RefSeq, a predicted model, not a curated record
UUGAUCUGAGAGAGCAGAUGGGGGAAAGGACGGGGAACAGGAAGGAUAUGGGGAGGGGGAGAGAGAGAAGGAGUGAGUAUGAACAUGGACAAGUGAUAAUUCGAAGCCCAAGCCCAGACAAAUGAGGGUGUGACGCAAGGGGGGGAGCCAUUCAGUGCAGUACUUUGGGCACUAUGGUUCUGAUUAGCACACCACAGGACAAUACAGCAGGCUGCUCCAGGUUGCCAAGAAGGUCUGCACGCUGGAGACUGGGAAAGAGAAAAGAGAGGGGGAUCUGGAUCUGCCCAGUGCUGCUCCAUUUCCUGCUAAUGGUGGCCACUCAGAGUCUCAUCCUCCUCCCCAAGAUGCAACAAUGUGUGACAGAGGAGGGAGACCCAGGAUCACUGGGGCACAAACCAAGAAAGCUGGCAAUGAAGGACAUCUGGGGGAAGCCAGCAAGAGCAGGAGCCCUGACUCACAAAGAAAAUGGGCUCUAGAGAUGGGAACUGAGCUCUCACUUCUCCCUUCCUGCUGACUGCUGCAGCAGAAGCUCCUGGUGUCGCCAUCUAUCUGAGUCUCUUCUCUCCCGACAGCUGCUCUGAGCUCCCCACGGACCCACCUCUACCUGGUGUACACUCAGGUGAUCUCCUGUGAAGGGGUCAUUUCCACCAAAGGAGUUGCGACCUACAAGUUGAGAACUGCUGCUCUAGAAACUCAUAGUAAUCAACACUUCCCCUCAUCACCCAUCUUCCUCUAUCAAGUCCCGGGAGACUUAGAAGAUGUUGAGGAAACUCUCAAAGAACUCUGAAAGAAUAAAAUAUUCGUGGUUGUGACAACGCUGCGAACAAUGGCACAGGCACCCUCUGGCCUCUCAGAAGUAGAAGGUGGCUCAAGAUGAGCUGAGAGCAUCUCAGAUGGGACCUGAGCCAGGGCAGAGCUGAGGUUUGAAUCCUUGCCCGUUCAUCUCCCAGCUGCUGUGACCCAAUCAAAUGCUUUCAUCCGUCGUGCCAACGGAAGAGUGGGGUUUGGGACCUCUUUGAUGCAGACAGAAGUUCCCAAGAACUGUUCAAGGCUUCAGAGUCAUGAUUUCAAAGAGGUUUGUGGAAAUGUUUCAUUAAUUCUUAUAAAGAAAUCUUCUUUCCCUAAUUUUUUAUAAACUUCAGACAUUUACUUACAAUUACAUUUGUUCUGUGAAUACAAUGACAGAAAUUAAUAAUUCAUAGCUUUUGUCAAGGAAAAAUUUAAAAGGGACAGUUGUUCAAUCAAAUACAGCUUUAAAUGAACAAUUUUUAUUUAAAUAAGAUGAAAAAAAACAAAUAAUGAGGACUGUUAUUGUACUUUGGAGGAAUCUCAUCUUUUCCUAAAUUAUAUCUGUGCCACGCCAGUGACAUGAAAUCCUGGGUUGCUCAGAGCACGUCAUGAAAAUAACAGGCUCUCAUCUGAUAACCUGAAACUUGACACUCGCUCACUGCUUACCGUGCCACCUGAACAUUCAGAUGCCUUCUGCUUGGUGACAGCCACAGAGCAGGAAAACGCAAGGCGGGAGUGACACGUCGCUUCUACAAUGGAGAAAUUAAGUUCCAGAGGGAAAGAGACAAGGGGACUUUCAAGUUCCCACCAAUGAGCCUAGGGUGGAGGCCCCUUAUUCCCAGGCCAGGCUCUCAGAGUUGGGGUGCCCUCUGUAGGUCAUUGUACCCUGGGGCCCGCCUGCAAAAGAGCUGCCAACUAUUGAUUAUGAUCUGCAGUGCACUAGGCAAACCAAACCUUUCGUGACAACUGCCUGGCUGCUUCCCGAAAAGCCAGCGUUAACCAUUGCUUGCUUUUCAUGAAGACGACGUUUAAAAAGGUUGCUUCCCCUGUUAAAAUGACAAGUGCCUGAUGACUCGCAUUCAACUACCAUGGAAAGAGGGGUGCCAGAUAAAGCCAAGUCCUGGGAAAAGUCAGAUGUGGGGAGGACCCCAAGAUGGUCUCUGGCGGGGGUCUAAGACAGUGGCUGAGAAAACCACACCCUUCCAUCCCACCUUGCCUGGCUGUUUCCUCCAAUCCUUAGCUGUGUCAGUCAUAAAAAUGACACCUGUAUUUAAAGAAAAACAGCAAAAAAAUCCAGAGAGGCAGCCUAAAAAUACCUGGUUAGUAGAAAGAUCCCUGGGGAAAAGGGAAUUGAACUUCUUGGUAAGAAUCAAAUAUCUUAGAUAGAUAGAUAGAUAGAUAGAUAGAUAGAUAGAUAGAUAGAUAGAUAGAUAGAUAGAAGAUGGAUGAUAGAUAGAUAGAUAGAUAGAUAGAUAGAUAGAUAGAUAGAUAGAUAGAUAGAAUGAUACCUGACUGUGCCUUCUGAGAGAAGGGUCUGACCUCUCUAAGUGGGUCUGUCUAGGUCCUGAUCAGAAAUCAAAGCUUGUAUGAAUUGCCCUCUUUGCUGCAAACGGCUGUUGAGGGUGGUGUUUGGAGGUGAGAAAAUGUGUGGUCUUCCUGGAUCCAUCAGUUUCCCACUUCUGAGUACAGUAUUGACCCCCGUCUCGCAACCAAAAGAAACAAACGGAUCUGAUUAGCAAAUACUUUCAUCUACGUUCCGAUUGAAGUCUCUGAGACUUCCUCAUUUUAGAAAAUCCCGUUUUAAUGCACAGCGUGUCAGGUAGCUGAAAACACUUCCUCUCCCAUCAGUUGCCCUGUCCCUCCCAUGGCCAGGGCAGUCACCCACAACAGCAGCAGCAGCUGCAGCAAAGCCCAGAGCAGUGUGGGCAAGGCUCUGGGAUGGAAGGCUCUCCUGCUGUUUCUAAUACCUAUGUGUAUCGCGUUCCAUCGCAACAUGCUUACACAUAGGACAGCCCCCGGGGUGGCCAGGCCAAGACAUACUCCGCGGUGGAGCUGUCUUGUCUUCUCAUCGGGAGCGGUGAGGUGGAAAACCCAGCUCUCCCUGGUAGGAGCAGCCGAAUGAAAUUGUAGCCAAAGAGGCAACCCUUUGGCCAUCUGAGAAGUCUAACCAGUUGGCACAUUGUUGUCCCCAAACGAGCCGGCAGGAAGUGGGGUUUCCUAAAACUGGGUUUUAAAGCACUUACAACAGGAAACCAUUCCGCAUGCAUGUUAGAUCUCUCUAAUGACUGACUAACUAGAAACAGGCUAUCUUAAUACUCUGCCCCGAGCCAUUACAAAUGGCUUUCUUUCCAGACUUCAUUAGAAUAUUUACUACGUUUUGGAUGGAAGACUUUUGACACUGCAGUCAUAAAAUUUACAGGGGACUUUUCUUCUUUCUCUCUUUUCAGUCUGAGAAGAGACUUUGGGAGAACAGGGGGAAGCUCUUAGCUCCCCCAGCCCUCAGUCGCAUGCAUUAGUCUUCAUGUCUCACAACUUCUAGUUAAGGAAAUAAAUAGGCUUGUGGUCCUCCAAUAAACUACCUCCAGAGGAAAAAAAAAGCUAUUAUCUCCCCUUUGCUGACUCUCGCCUCUUUCAAAUGUGACAAGGGAGGGGAAAAAUCCCAAAGUGAACGCUUCCUCCCUGCGUUUUCCCGAUCUUUAUGAUUGGGUCACAAUCAUUGUUCUCAUUUCCCCUUUACGAAAACAAAAGACUGGGGGUUUCCAGAAGCCACACAGCUAGUAGAUGAUAGAGCAAAGAAUGAGAUGACGGUGUCAGUCAAACACAGCUCCUCAUAGAGUUGCUAUGUUGCUAUGAAUGCCCAUCCUUGAGGAGAGCUCGUCUACAUGGACAGGGUCUGCUUCCUAGAAAAGAAAUCUGAACUCAUUUUUCCUCUCUCUGCAUUUCAGGCACCUAACACUGUCAUACUCGUGACUGUACUACUUUCUUUCCUCGUUGCUGUGACCAAAUACCUGAUAAGAAGGAAAGGUUUACUUUGGCUCACAGUUUGAGGGGAUACAGCACAUCAAAGUAAGGAAAGCUUAGGGGUGGGAGCAUGGGUGUCUUAGUUAGGGUUUCUGUUGCUAUGAAGAGACACCAUGACCAAGGCAACUCUUAUAAAGGCAAAUAUUUAAUUGGGGCUGGCUUAUGGUUUCAGAGAUUUAGUCCAUUAUCAUCGUAGCAGGAAGCAUGGCAGCCUGCAGGCAGACGUGGUGUUGGAGAAGGAGCUGAGAGUUCUGAAUCUUGAUCCAAAGGAAGCCAGGAGAAAAAGACUGUCUCUUCGGCACUGAGCAGAACAUGAAAAUAGGACCUCCAAGCCCACCAACACAGUGACACAACUCCUCCAACAAGGACACACCUAUUUCAACAAGGAUACACCUACUAAUUGUGUCACUCCCUGUGGGCCAAGCACAGGAGUUUAUGGGACCUAUUCAAGCCACUACAAUGGGGCAGCUGACACAGUGUUGCACUCAGGAAGCAGAGAGCAAGGAAUGUUGGUCCUGUUUGCUUUUUCUUCCUCUUCUUUGUUCAGUCUUCCAGCCCUUGAGAUGUAUUUUCUUUAUUCAGGGAGGACUCUGGGUCCUCAGUUAAGCUUCUCUGGGCAAACUUUCACAGAUGAGUGUGGAGGUGUGUUUCCUGGGUGAUUGUAUAACCUACUCAGCUUGAUAAGGAAGUUUAACCACCUCAGUGACCACGUAGAAGUCAACCCUCCAAUCUGCAGGGAUUGAUUUACUAUUUAGCUGGGCUGGAGAGUUGGCUCAGUGGUUAAGAGAGCACUUGUUUCUCUUGCAGAGGACCUGGGUUCAAUUCCAGCACACACAUAGCUGUUUAAAAGUGUCUGUAAUUCCAGUUCCAUGGAACUAGAUAUCCUCUUCAGACACCCCCCCCCCAAGCAGCAAAUACACAUAGCAAACAUAUAUACAUACUACAUACACAUAAAACACACCAUACACAUAAAGUAAUUUUUUAAAAAGAAAGAAGAUGCUAUGGGGCAUUGGCCAAGGCUCUAUUUGUUACAGGAUCCAGUUGGACUGUGACUAUGGAGCAUGCUGGCAGCAAGAUUGAACAGAGAGCUAUGGUAAGAGAAGACAUGGAUAUGACAGGAUGAGAGACACUGAAUUGGAUUCAGAAUGAGAUCAAGGAAAGAUUAUGAUAUAGAAUAUUUGAGUAAGCUCUGACUAAAGUUAGGAAGGUGAUGCAUUAUGAGAACAUUCUGGAACAAAUGAGCAUUAAGCACCAGAGCUUUAUGGAGUGCCUGAAGAACAGAAGAAGGGACCUCAAUGUCACUGCUUGUGUCCCUGUGGUUCUAUAUUAUACUCAGAACCCUGGGUUCUCUGGAUCCUGUGUAUGUACUAGAAAGAAGCAUAUCCUUAUCACAUAGGUGGUCUUGUAUCUGAACAUCCCCACUGGGUCUCGCCACAUCCCAUCCCAAUAUGUAUGUGGAAUGUUUCAAUCAGUAGGCUUCAAAGACUACAUAGUCUCCUAGGUGUUCUCUCUCUCUCUCUCUCUCUCUCUCUCUCUCUCUCUCUCUCUCUCUCUCUCUCUCUCUCUCUCUGCAGAGCCAAGACAAGGAUGAUCAUUCCUAAAACACGGUGUGCAUCCUCUUAACAAGCAACGAAGAGCACGUGCAUUAUCAUGUUUCCCCCUUUUUGCCUUGAUUCCUAGGAAGCUCAAUGUUAAAUUCAACAUUCAAUUAAAACAACAAAGUUAGCCUUCAAGGCUUUGAGUAUUUUUCAUGCUUAAUUGUGAAUCUGCUUCUCAUUGCCUACAGCCUCUAGUGCUUUUGGACGGGUGUAUAAAUAACACAUGUACAUAAAAUCAUGUAUGCCAAGCAUAGAAGAAGGUUGAUCUGCCUAAACAAAUAACAUUUAUAAUCAGCUCUCUGUAUGUUCCAGAUAGGGACUGUUUACGAUUCCAUUUCCAUGGAGGCAACCAUGGAAAUGACCAGACUGGAUUAGGAAAGGAGAAAGAAAUACUGUUGUAGAGCAAUAUGCUAAUAUUUCCUGGGCGGGGGUGUUGAAUGAGAAUGGAUGCCAUAGGCCCAUAUAUCUGAAUGCUCUGUCCAUAUUGAUGGAACUGUUUGGGAAGGAUUAAGAGGUGUGGCCUUUUGGGAGAUGUGUCACCAGAGGUUUCCAAUCUCCAAACCAUUUCCAGUCUCUUUCUCUCUGCCCCUCAUUUGUGAACCAUAUAUAAGCUCUCAGCUACUGCUCUGCUGGCUGCCGUGCUUCCUGUCAUAAUUGGUGUGAACUCUAACCGUCUGCAACCAUGAACCUCAAAAUUAAAUGAUUUUUUUAAUGUAACUUUGGUCAAGGUAGUUUGUCAUACAAAUAGAAAAGUAACUAAGACAUCUCCUUUCCUCAACAACCAUGGCUACCAGUACUAUGACCCUAUGUCAUCCCCCAUCGCAUGAAUGUUGGGCAUGGCCACAUGACACGCCUUAGACAAUGAUACAUUAGUACGUUGCAUACAGAAACUUGAUGAGCAACCUCACACGUGCCCUCCUUGAAAUAAUGCUGCCACCAUGUGACCCAGCCAGGUAACUUUAUUGAAGAUGACAGAUACAUAGAGAGGUCCAAUCAUUACAGCUGGUCUUUGGCUAAAUAAAGCCGUAUGAAUGAGCCCAACAAAAUAGCCGAGUCUAUAAGCAAGUAGAAUGGACUGAAUGAGAGUGUACUCCGAAAGCUGAGACAUUUCAACUUUGCUUCCCAGUUUGUGGCACCAUUUGAAGAGGUUUAGAAAAUGAAACGAUAAUGAAGGAAGUAUGUCACUGUGGUUUAUUUAAGAGUCUAAAGCCCCCUCUGCUUCAACUUCAUUCUCUCUGCUUUGUUCUUGCAUUUCAAGAUAUAGAAUCUCACCUUUCUGCCCUUGCAGCCAUGACUGCUCUGUCAUUAUCCCUCUCUGCCAUGGUGGACUCUUGUGACCCUGAAAUCAGGAACCAAGAUAGACACUUCCUUAAGUAUCCUUUGUCCUGGGAUUUUUAUCCCAACAACAGACAGAUGACUGAUACAGUAAUCCAUGCCUUCUUUGGAAUUAAUAAAACUUUGUUCUCUCUUUUGUCAGGUUCUGACUGUAGUUGAAGGAGCAGUAGACAACUGAUAUAUUCAUCUAUACAUCCAAAAAGUCUUUCAGGAUCAGUUCUGCCAAAUUGAUGUUGCCUGGGUCCAUUAAAUCCUGAACACUUGUCUUAGAACAUCAAAGCUUUCUCAUAGUCUCAGUUUGCCCCAAAUAAAGCAUUGCAAUGAAGGCCACAUCUUUUCUGAAAACAUACCACAUGGGCCACAGUCCACCACCCAGGAGCUGCAUUGCUAAUGUGGAAACUACCAUCUAAAAGAGCCUAGUCAGUGUUAAGGCCAAAAUAAUUUAGACCAUGUAUGAUUGACAGAACAGAUGGAGAUCUGAAAAGAGGAGAGAGAGAGAGAGAGAGAGAGAGAGAGAGAGAGAGAGAGAGAGAGGAGAGAGAGAGAGAGAGAGAGAGAGAGAGAGAGAGAGAGAGAGAGAGAGAGAGAGAGAGGAGAGAGAGAGAGAGAGAGAGAGAGAGAGAGAGAGAGAGAGAGUAAGAGAGAGUGUUGAGAAACAUCCUAGUACCUAUAGUAUGACAUAUACAGGAAGGUAUCAAUGUGUAUCAAAUGUAUGCCCACAUAAAACAAAACCAUUUUACCCCAUGUGGCACUAGACUAGAAAGUUAGCCAUCAGGAAGAAACCAUCUUGUUAGUGAGCAUUUCUCCUCAUACCGACUCCAUAGAGAACAAAGGGCUCAUAGGUCACAAUAGCAGGCUCAUGAUAACUUUGAAGGAUAUUUAGAAAUGUUAACAGUCACUUACUGAACUGUUGGUAGCUUGAACCCAGCCAUAAUAGAACUUAGAGCGAAUCCCUGAGUAUAUGCUAGUAACAGGUUACUGUGCUUGAAUCUUUCUAUCUACUUGAUGAUUUCUUAUUUUUUUUAAAGGGUACAUUUAAAAAGCUGUUGAGAGUGAGAAUGGUUUAUAUAUUUCUUCAUGCAUAUAUUUAACAUUUACUCAGGCAAAGUCUGGGAAAUGGACUUUACAAGAUAGAAUGCAUCAUUCUUGUGAGGAAAAAAAUUAAAUAGAACAAAUGGCCAAGAUUCGGACCUGUUUUUUCAGUCUAUGUUUUUUAAAAUCCUCUGAAGGUAGCCUCCCCCUACUUCAUCAGCAAACAAGAAAAUGAAAGGAAAACCUUUUGAUUUUAGAAGUGGAGAAAACAAUUCCUCUACCUCUAAAAUAAUACAAGUUGUUCACACAUUGCUAGGUUGGUGGGCGUGGGUUUGCUCAUCAGAACACCCUCAAUAUUUCAAGGAGCCUUCAAGAGACAGUGUCUAGUGGGAAGAGGUUAGGUGUUGCCUUAGGUCCAUGCCCAACUCCCAGCAGUGAGCAGACUGUGUGGUAGGAUCAGUUCCCAGGAGCGCACCACUGUAAGUUAAGACUGUCUUAUGCACUUGUCAUUCAUUAGACACUCACUGGGCUGUUUAGACUCACUAGUCCCAAGUAUAAUGAGCCAAAUAAACCUCAUUUCUUUAUAAGGUAUCCAUCCUCCAGUAUUUUAUUAUAGCUACAGAAGAUAAGCAAAGAUAGCCAGGCAGUGGGCAGGGCAGUUAUUCAAUCACCACCACAGGUCCAGUUUACAGAUAACACUGCUGAGACCUGAAAAAGUAGACUGACUUGGCUGAGGUCACACUGGCAGUAAAUACCAGAUUAAAUGCCUGUGUCAUUUUCACUACAUGGUACCGGUUCUAUGAUUAAAUUGUGGCAGGUGCUGAAAGGUAUCGUAAAUCAUGAAGCCUAACCAAUGCCUCAUAGCUCCCUCAAGCCUUCAUUACGGACUACAUGUCUUACUUUAGUUAGAGAAAAGAGUGCAUGAUUAAAGUGAAAAAAAGAAAAAUCAGCGUACGAAGGUGUGAGCUAGAGACAUGCAAGGAUCCAGAACCAAUGACAACUGUAAGCUCAAGGCAGGGAGUCACUCAAAGACAGGGACUUAAUGUGUCCCUUGUCCACUGUCUGCCACUUAACUACUUAUUGGCAGGAGAAGUUGUUUAUCUCAAUGUGUGCUUAGGAAGAAAGAAAAAGAAAGAAAGAAAGAAAGAAAGAAAGAAAGAAAGAAAGAAAGAAAGAAAGAAAGAGAAAGAAAGAGUGAGUGAGUGUGUAGAGGGAGGGAGAGAGGAGAGGGAGAGAGGGGGAGAGGGGAGAGGGAGAGAGGGAGAGGGAGAGAAGGAGGGAGGGAGGGAAGGAGAGAGAGAGAAAGAGAAAGAAAAGAAGGAAAAAGAAGAAAAGAGAAAAGGAAACUGAGAUGGAGAAAAAGGAGAAGGAAGAAGAAAGGGCUGAAGUAAAGUGGGGAGGAUAAGGAAGAGAAAUUCAUCAGGAAAGCAAAGGAGAAGUAAAAACCACAGUGCUAUAUGGUUCUCCAGUGGUCUAGAGCACCCAACUGCCUCCUAGUAUGCAUGGGCGAUAACAUGGCUAAGAUAAAAGAUGAUACUAAUAAUGAUGACAACCAAUCAUAUUUUUUUGAAUAAAUAAUACACAGGACAGGAUUUUUUCCAAAAGAUAAUAGUAAUAAAAAGUGCGUUUCAGUACAGCUGAUAUUUAUGUAGACCAAUAUGAAUCAUAUAGAAAAUUCAUUUUCCAGAGCAGCUGAUUCCCAAACCACAGGGAGUCAUUACCAUCAAUUAUAGAUGCGUUCACAUUCAAAUGACUCCUGUGGUGGAGGUCGUGAUGAAUGGACCGUCCCAGGAUCUGUCUGCACAUCUACAUCAAGUGUUAGCCAUUUUUCUUUCUCUCAAGAAAUCAAAUUCACCUUGAGAGUUAAUUUGGGUUAGGGGAGCCUGCCUAGUUUGUUGUUCUUGUUGUUUGUUGUUGUUCUUGUUGUUGUUGCUGCUGCUGCUGCUGCUGUUGCUCUCUCUCUCUCUCUCUCUCUCUCUCUCUCUCUCUCUGUGUGUGUGUGUGUGUGUGUGUGUGUGUGUAUUAAUCUAAAUUUCUUAUCUCUUGCCACACCUCCUAGAAUUUGAAUGAAACUCCCUGGUGGGCGUACUUUAGAAUAAGCAUUUUCUCAGUCUUAACAACUCAAGCAGUUCAGACGGGUGUCCACUGGUCACUCAGUUUAGAGCCUACACCUCACCUCACCCACAUCUUCUCAGCAACUUCAUCAUUACAGAGGGACAACGCUGAAGUCUUUCUUGAAGUGUUUCCGCAAGGAACAAUGCUUACCUUAAUAUUUGGCCUUCAGUAACGGAAACUGCCAUCAGAGAGCUGAGCCCAAAAUAUACCUUAGAUGGCUCUAUCAGACCAUCCUUUCUUUUCAAGUUUGGGUUCUUAGUCUCUGAGUACAGAAUGAAGUCUAGUCCCCAAAUCCCCAGUUAAGAUACAGUGUCUGGUUUGCAAACUGUCCUAAAACCCUAGGUCACCGAUGUAGGCUCAGGAUCUACAGCUCAACAGGAUUUUACAGAGACGCAGGGUUAGCUUCAUGAUGUCUGGAUUGUGAGCUUAGCUCACUGAAAACAGUUGGGUGGGGCUAUUACACAGCCUGAGUCCUGGAGUUGACAGCAAUUCUCUUAGGGGGAGAGGAUUUCAAACUUUAAUUGAAUUUUCUCGGGGUUAUUUUGAGUGAGCACUGGUUAGGCUAGUCCCAAUUUUAUUUUUUAUUUUUAUUUUUUGUUUCCUCCAGAACCUCAUUAAACGCACACAGCAAACAAACCAGCACCCUAAAUGCAAUAAUUCCAUCAAUCAAGGUCUAUGCUAGAGAUAGCCCAGACACACCACAAUUACCCUUAACUGACAGGUAAGUUCCAGGAAGCCAA